This 3162-nucleotide long non-coding RNA is filed under the name Mus musculus (house mouse). Its description in RNAcentral is "predicted gene 15631 (Gm15631)". Lineage: Eukaryota; Metazoa; Chordata; Mammalia; Rodentia; Muridae. The record is from RNAcentral.
AGAGGCAGUGGACCCUUAGGCGUAGCACCUGCACCGCCCUGCCCUGGGGAGGCGACCCCGAGUACCCACGCGGGACACUGGUCAAGGACAUCGGCCAGACAGUGAUAAGGACAGGAGCUGGUGUCUUAACCGGAGCAACAGACAUUCAAGCUGAAUGAGGCUGAAUGAGCACAGAAGGGGGAAGGGGGAAGAGGAAACACUUGCGAUAAAAUAGGGAAGAAGCAAAGCUACCUCUGCCAAGAAAGCCAGCUUCUCACUGAAGCUCUCCUGAUUGGGGAGUGUUCCUAAGAGAAUCAGCCUCUGCCAGGAGAUGGAAGUGGCUUAUUUUGAAGACAACAUCCUCACACGUGUGUGUCCCUGUAUAUCUGGGACCCCCAGCUAAGUGUCAGUUCCUUGCUCAGAGAACCUGUGAUUGGGAUUCUCUGGGGGGAAAUGUUCAAAAUGAAUCAAUUAUCACCACCAGCAGAGAGUUCAAUACCACUGUACAGGGACCCAGCUUUGUAUUAGUGCAUGAAUGAAUUACUGGUACUCAUGUCAUUUGCAAAUAACCAUCAUUAUAGCGCAGUGGAAAAUUCCCCCUACCCAUUUAGUCUAAGUAGCACCUUAGCAGAGCAUUGCAAUAACCCUCAUGGACCCUCCAAAAUAUUUGCACAUAUAUGUUCAGAUUAAGCUCCAGAUAGUUUAAUAUGAGAGUAUCUAUUUGGACACAAGGUCACCCCUUACACUCAUUAAACCAAUCUGAAUGAGGUCUGAUAACUCUUAAGGGAAAUCAGCACUUGAAAUGCUUUCGACUUUUUGGAGACACGGAUGGAAUAUAUCAGCAGGCUUCGCUCAGCAUGAGACAGCUCUGAAAACUCCAGAAAGGACAUAUCGCUGUCCCACCCCACCCUCAGAGUCGUUCUUCACACAUCUAAGGCUUGUGGUGGGUGUGAAUUUAAUGUAAGGGGUGGGGGGAGUGGAGAACUUUACAGAAAAAGUGUGUUUCUUCUGACCAAAUCUGAUCUGAGUCAAUUUUUCUGCUGAUUCCUCCUACCCAGUGGGAAUUUUUAAAAAAUACAUAACGAGCACAUUUUGUGUUCUAAAGGACAUGAAUAAAAUGAUCCAGAGCUGUGGAGAUAACUCAGUGUGUAAUUGUGCUUGUUUUCCAUGAGAGCAAGGAGUGCUUAGUUCAAAUUCUCCAAACCUAGAGAAAAGAAAUGCUAGGCUUAGUCAUGUAUCUGUAACUCUACCUUUUUGCCGGCAUUGGGGUGGAUAUAGGGACUUGAUGGCCAGCCAUCCUGAGCAGCUUUAGGUUAAGUGAGAUACUUAUCAUGUCCCAAAGUGUAAGACAGCAGGUAGUGGGGAAAGAACCCCUGAAGUCUCCCUUUGGCAUAUACACUCAUAGACAUGCACCUGUCCCUGGACACACAGGCAACACACACACACACACACACAUUGGAAAAUAGGUUGAAGGAGCUGGAUAGCAACUCAUAUGAAAAAAAAAAAACCCUAGGUUUUAUACUUAAUUUGCUUUUUGAAAACAUUUCUAAAAGCCUUAACCUUCAUGUAUGAAGCAACACUUGAACCCCUCCCUGGUUUUGAAGAAUAACCUUAGGUUUAGAAGAGGUGAAUAAAAUAGUGUUUUCCUAAAGGAGUUAUGUCCGGAUGGCUUUAUGUUUCAUUGUUAAAAUCCAGCGAGGAGAACUUGGAAGUGGACACUAGGAACAGCCUUCUCAGCAUACUCCUAUUUCAUUGACAUAAGUGACUUUUGAGCUUCAACCUAAGGACGUGGGAAUAAUAACGGCUUCAUAGUGGGAUAAUGGUAAUUAGCACACAAAAGUUGAGUUAAUUACCAUGAAGGUUAUGACACAGACUGACAGACUGAGUCAAAGUAAACUACAAGCCUUCCACCUCAGUCAAGACUCUAAAAAGGGACCGUACAACUCCCACUGCAGUUAGACAUAAAGCACAAUUGAGAUCAGUCACCUUUUCUCCCUCCAUCCUUAUUUCUAGACUUUUAAUUUCUUCGUAUGAAAUUCAAGAACAAUAGCUCUAGCCGUGUAUAUUUUGAUAAAGUAUGUAUAGUUGAUUUUCAUUGUUCUUGGUGAUGACAUUCCAUAAAGUUGCUGCCCAUAAUGAAAUGUUCCCAGUAAAAAUAGAGAGGUAAGUUCCAGAGUCCCUCUGUAAAAUGAUCUUCAUUAACUCAUCAGCACAUAAUCUCAUUUUCUGAAAGCUUCUGGUAGAUACUCUGUUCAGGAUGUGUUAUUGUUUCCCGAACACUCAGCUUCCCUCGCAGCACUGUAGCCUUUGCCUCACAGAGCUUGUUAUCCAAAGCUUGUAUUUUCUGUGCAAAGCAUUGCAGCCUUUUUAGGAACACCAGGAAACACAGUAUGUAUGGGGGUCAUUUUGAACAGCAAAAUUGCCAAAGAACAUUCUAAAAUAGCUAGCAGUGCUACCAAAAAAAAAAAAAAAAAAAAAAAUUGAGAGUUCUGGGUACUGUGGACUGAAACGAGAAGGCAGGACAUCACCUUGCUUGACCUAGGCCAGGAGAUGGUGUUUUGGGAGGCUCAAGCUUUGUUCUCUGUAUAUCAUAAGCACCCCAUGUGCCUGUAGGUAUCACCCUCAGUGGUUUAAGUAUUAACCUCUAGGUUACACAAAACUCUGUACAAGCAAGCAAAUUUUGCAGUUAUGGAAUCUAGAGAUAAUGAGGAUUAAAUGGAUCAGAUUUCUUUGCUUUUAAGGGAGAGACUCAUCAGCUCACUUGAUUUGUGUUUGAACUUACAUGUAAAUUGAAUUGAUAAUCAUUUGAAAAUAUAUUAUUGUGAGACUAUAAACCUUCAUACAUUUUGUAAUAUGUCUUCAUCUUCCACCAGCUUUCUCAAUUAAAUUAGGUAAUGCAAUUCCUAAUUGAGAGACAUUUCUUUUUGUCACAUACCACGAUUUCUCUGUGUUUAUUCCACAAUGAGUAUUUUGUGAUAUUGUCAUUGAACAUUAUUAUCCAUUCUGUUGGACACAAAGUAGAGAUUUUUAAGAACUAAUAGAAAGUUAAAAAGAAUUUAAAAAGCUUAGUGAAGUGAAAAGGGUGUCUUUGUGAGAGUUAAAACAAGCCUUCCGCCAAAGAGAAUUAUUUCAGCUGAGAAUAUGUUUUCAUUUUAUUAAUAAAACUCUGAAAGUAAUUGGUUU